Molecule: ribosomal RNA, 490 nt
Filed under: uncultured bacterium
Lineage: Bacteria
Description: partial 16S ribosomal RNA
Rfam family: Bacterial small subunit ribosomal RNA
Source: RNAcentral
AUUGAACGCUGGCGGCAGGCCUAACACAUGCAAGUCGAGCGGCAGCGGAAAGUAGCUUGCUACUUUGCCGGCGAGCGGCGGACGGGUGAGUAAUGUCUGGGGAUCUUCCUGAUGGAGGGGGAUAACUACUGGAAACGGUAGCUAAUACCGCAUAACGUCGCAAGACCAAAGCGGGGGACCUUCGGGCCUCGCGCCAUCAGAUGAACCCAGAUGGGAUUAGCUAGUAGGUGGGGUAAUGGCUCACCUAGGCGACGAUCCCUAGCUGGUCUGAGAGGAUGACCAGCCACACUGGAACUGAGACACGGUCCAGACUCCUACGGGAGGCAGCAGUGGGGAAUAUUGCACAAUGGGCGCAAGCCUGAUGCAGCCAUGCCGCGUGUAUGAAGAAGGCCUUCGGGUUGUAAAGUACUUUCAGCGAGGAGGAAGGCGGUAAGGUUAAUAACCUUACUGAUUGACGUUACUCGCAGAAGAAGCACCGGCUAACUCCGUG